Molecule: ribosomal RNA, 1387 nt
Organism: Coccidioides immitis RMSCC 3703
Lineage: Eukaryota; Fungi; Ascomycota; Eurotiomycetes; Onygenales; Onygenaceae
Rfam family: Eukaryotic small subunit ribosomal RNA
Source: Rfam
UACCUGGUUGAUUCUGCCAGUAGUCAUAUGCUUGUCUCAAAGAUUAAGCCAUGCAUGUCUAAGUAUAAGCAAUUUGUACGGUGAAACUGCGAAUGGCUCAUUAAAUCAGUUAUCGUUUAUUUGAUAGUACCUUACUACAUGGAUACCCGUGGUAAUUCUAGAGCUAAUACAUGCUAAAAACCUCGACUUCGGAAGGGGUGUAUUUAUUAGAUAAAAAACCAAUGCCCUUCGGGGCUCUUUGGUGAUUCAUAAUAACUUGUCGAAUCGCAUGGCCUUGCGCUGGCGAUGGUUCAUUCAAAUUUCUGCCCUAUCAACUUUCGAUGGUAGGAUAGUGGCCUACCAUGGUGGCAACGGGUAACGGGGAAUUAGGGUUCGAUUCCGGAGAGGGAGCCUGAGAAACGGCUACCACAUCCAAGGAAGGCAGCAGGCGCGCAAAUUACCCAAUCCCAACACGGGGAGGUAGUGACAAUAAAUACUGAUACAGGGCUCUUUCGGGUCUUGUAAUUGGAAUGAGUACAAUUUAAAUCCCUUAACGAGGAACAAUUGGAGGGCAAGUCUGGUGCCAGCAGCCGCGGUAAUUCCAGCUCCAAUAGCGUAUAUUAAAGUUGUUGCAGUUAAAAAGCUCGUAGUUGAACCUUGGGUCUGGCUGGCCGGUUCCCUUCGCGGCGUGCACUGGUCCGGCUGGACCUUUCCUUCUGGGGAACCCUAUGGCCUUCACUGGCUGUAGGGGGAACCAGGACUUUUACUGUGAAAAAAUUAGAGUGUUCAAAGCAGGCCUUUGCUCGGAUACAUUAGCAUGGAAUAAUAGAAUAGGACGUGUGGUUCUAUUUUGUUGGUUUCUAGGACCGCCGUAAUGAUUAAUAGGGAUAGUCGGGGGCGUCAGUAUUCGGCUGUCAGAGGUGAAAUUCUUGGAUUUGCUGAAGACUAACUACUGCGAAAGCAUUCGCCAAGGAUGUUUUCAUUAAUCAGUGAACGAAAGUUAGGGGAUCGAAGACGAUCAGAUACCGUCGUAGUCUUAACCAUAAACUAUGCCGACUAGGGAUCGGGACGGGCAACUUUGAAUAACCCCGGUUCGGCACCUUACGAAGAAAAUCAAAGUUUUUGGGUUCUGGGGGGGGAGUAUGCGUCGCAAGGCUGAAAACUUUAAAGAAAUUGACGGAAGGGCACCACCCAGGCGUGGGAGCCCUGCGGCUUUAAUUUGACUCAACACCGAGCCACAACUCACUCACGGUCCAAAACAAAAUAAGGGGAUUGACAGAUUGGAGGAGCUCUUUUCUGGAAUCUGUUGGGAUGGAGGGUGCCAUGGGCCGGUCUCUUAGUUUGGUGGAGGUGAUUUUUGUCUUGCUUUAUUUGCCGAUUACCCGAACGGAGACUCUUUAACCUUGCU